This 595-nucleotide ribosomal RNA is filed under the name Brevibacterium sp. CMT248. RNAcentral's name for it is "partial 16S ribosomal RNA". It matches the Rfam family "Bacterial small subunit ribosomal RNA", at positions 281 to 885 of the family's 1533-position model. Lineage: Bacteria; Bacillati; Actinomycetota; Actinomycetes; Micrococcales; Brevibacteriaceae. The record is from RNAcentral.
GGGUAGGCGGMCUGAGAGGGCGACCGGCCACACUGGGACUGAGACACGGCCGAGACUCCUACGGGAGGCAGCAGUGGGGAAUAUUGCACAAUGGGCGRAASCCUGAUGCAGCRACGCMGCGUGCGGGAUGACGGCCUUCGGGUUGUAAACCGCUUUCAGCAGGGAAGAAGCGAAAGUGACGGUACCUGCAGAARAAGUACCGGCUAACUACGUGCCAGCAGCCGCGGUAAUACGUAGGGUACGAGCGUURUCCGGAAUUAUUGGGCGUAAAGAGCUCGUAGGYGGUUKGUCRCGUCUGCUGUGGAAACGCAACGCUUAACGUUGCGCGUGCAGUGGGUACGGGCUGACUAGAGUGCAGUAGGGGAGWYUGGAAUUCCUGGUGUAGCGGUGAAAUGCGCAGAUAUCAGGAGGAACACCGGUGGCGAAGGCGGGACUCUGGGCUGUAACUGACACUGAGGAGCGAAAGCAUGGGGAGCGAACAGGAUUAGAUACCCUGGUAGUCCAUGCCGUAAACGUUGGGCACUAGGUGUGGGGGGCAUUCCACGUUCUCCGCGCCGUAGCUAACGCAUUAAGUGCCCCGCCUGGGGGAGUACGG